This 142-nucleotide small RNA is filed under the name Prymnesium polylepis. RNAcentral describes it as "partial Betaproteobacteria transfer-messenger RNA". Lineage: Eukaryota; Haptophyta; Prymnesiales; Prymnesiaceae. The record is from RNAcentral.
GCGCGCAAACAUCUUGAAGUGGCCAGGCUGCGAGAACGCGUAUUUCCUUGGCCAGCGCGCCCCCGUGCAGGCGUGCCGUGGCGGUUCAGCGGUGGUGCCAUCGUUGCUCCCACAAUCGCACACAAGAUCGACCUCGCGUUCU